This 449-nucleotide ribosomal RNA is filed under the name uncultured bacterium. RNAcentral describes it as "SSU rRNA". It matches the Rfam family "Bacterial small subunit ribosomal RNA", at positions 26 to 518 of the family's 1533-position model. The record is from RNAcentral.
AGAGCGAACGCUGGCGGCAGGCUUAACACAUGCAAGUCGAACGGGCGUAGCAAUACGUCAGUGGCAGACGGGUGAGUAACGCGUGGGAACGUACCUUUUGGUUCGGAACAACACAGGGAAACUUGUGCUAAAUACCGGAUAAGCCCUUACGGGGAAAGAUUUAUCGCCGAAAGAUCGGCCCGCGUCUGAUUAGCUAGUUGGUAGGGUAACGGCCUACCAAGGCGACGAUCAGUAGCUGGUCUGAGAGGAUGAUCAGCCACAUUGGGACUGAGACACGGCCCAAACUCCUACGGGAGGCAGCAGUGGGGAAUAUUGGACAAUGGGCGAAAGCCUGAUCCAGCCAUGCCGCGUGAGUGAUGAAGGCCCUAGGGUUGUAAAGCUCUUUUGUGCGGGAAGAUAAUGACGGUACCGCAAGAAUAAGCCCCGGCUAACUUCGUGCCAGCAGCCGC